RNAcentral lists this ribosomal RNA (327 nucleotides) under uncultured eukaryote. RNAcentral's name for it is "partial 18S ribosomal RNA". It matches the Rfam family "Eukaryotic small subunit ribosomal RNA", at positions 1470 to 1796 of the family's 1831-position model. The record is from RNAcentral.
CCCUUAGAUGUCCGGGGCCGCACGCGCGCUACACUGGAGGAAUCAGCGUGGCUUUCUCCCUGACCCGAAAGGGUUGGGAAACCCGUUGAAUCUCCUUCGUGAUAGGGAUUGGGGCUUGAAAUUGUUCCCCAUGAACGAGGAAUUCCCAGUAAGCGCGAGUCAUAAGCUCGCGUUGAUUACGUCCCUGCCCUUUGUACACACCGCCCGUCGCUACUACCGAUUGAGUGAUCCGGUGAAUAAUUCGGACUGCAGCAGUGUUCAGUUCCUGAACGUUGCAGCGGAAAGUUUAGUGAACCUUAUCACUUAGAGGAAGGAGAAGUCGUAACA